CAACAAAUACGGACAAUGGCUCGGGCACACCGAUGGCAUAAGAAACCUGCACAAUGCAUCUCCGAGCAAGCCCACUAGCUACAAUACUCUUGGCAGCCUGCCUUACGAUGUAUGCACCACUCCUGUCAACCUUGGUUGGGUCUUUACCGGAGAAAGCACCACCACCAUGGGCACCCCAACCACCAUAGGUGUCAAUGAUGAUUUUACGACCAGUGAGACCAGCAUCACCAUGAGGUCCACCAAUAACGAAUCGGCCAGAUGGGUUAAGGUGGAAGAUUGUCUUCUCGUCAAGGUACUUCUCUGGGAUGACUGGCUUGAUGACAUGCUCCUUAAGGUCGCGGGCAAUCUCAUCAUUAGUGACGGUCUCAUCGUGUUGAGUGGAGAUGAGAACGGUGUGGACCCUAACUGGAACCAUCGCACCAUUGUCAUUGUAGUACUCAACAGUAACUUGGGUCUUGCCAUCAGGCCUCAACCAGGGGCAGGUACCAUUCUUGCGAACUUCAGUGAGGCGGGCACCAAGUUUAGUUGCGAGCACAUGGCUGAGAGGCAUCAAUUCAGGGGUCUCAUCUGUGGCAUACCCGAACAUGUGUCCCUGGUCACCAGCACCAAUCUCCUCAGGGCGCUUGGUCAGAUGGCCGUGGACACCUUGAGCGAUAUCAGGACUUUGCUGUUCAAUGUAUACAAGGACCUUGC
RNAcentral lists this long non-coding RNA (693 nucleotides) under Nicotiana tabacum (common tobacco). RNAcentral describes it as "long non-coding RNA (NTAB_LNC001873)". The record is from RNAcentral. Lineage: Eukaryota; Viridiplantae; Streptophyta; Magnoliopsida; Solanales; Solanaceae.